AUUUCCAGUGUAGCGGUGAAAUGCGUAGAGAUUGGAAGGAACAUCAGUGGCGAAGGCGGCCACCUGGACAAAAACUGACGCUGAGGCACGAAAGCGUGGGUAGCAAACAGGAUUAGAUACCCUGGUAGUCCACGCCGUAAACGAUGUCAACUAGCUGUCUGUGGUUUAAUCUGUGGGUAGCGUAGCUAACGCGCUAAGUUGACCGCCUGGGGAGUACGGCCGCAAGGUUAAAACUCAAAUGAAUUGACGGGGGCCCGCACAAGCGGUGGAGCAUGUGGUUUAAUUCGAUGCAACGCGAAGAACCUUACCAUCCCUUGACAUCCAGAGAAUUUUCCAGAGAUAGAAUUGUGCCUUCGGGAACUCUGAGACAGGUGCUGCAUGGCUGUCGUCAGCUCGUGUUGUGAAAUGUUGGGUUAAGUCCCGCAACGAGCGCAACCCUUAUCCUUAGUUGCCAGCGCGUAAUGGCGGGAACUUUAAGGAGACUGCCGGUGAUAAACCGGAGGAAGGUGGGGACGACGUCAAGUCAUCAUGGCCCUUACGGGAUGGGCUACACACGUGCUAUAAUGGCGUAUACAAAGGGCAGCGAGACCGCGAGGUGGAGCGAAUCCCAUAAAGUACGUCGUAGUCCGGAUUGGAGUCUGCAACUCGACUCCAUGAAGUCGGAAUCGCUAGUAAUCGUGGAUCAGAAUGCCGCGGUGAAUACGUUCCCGGGCCUUGUACACACCGCCC
RNAcentral lists this ribosomal RNA (729 nucleotides) under uncultured bacterium. RNAcentral's name for it is "bacterial SSU rRNA". It matches the Rfam family "Bacterial small subunit ribosomal RNA", at positions 666 to 1395 of the family's 1533-position model. The record is from RNAcentral.